CCUACGGGCGGCUGCCGUGGGGAAUAUUGGACAAUGGGGGCAACCCUGAUCCAGCCAUGCCGCGUGUGUGAAGAAGGCCCUCGGGUUGUAAAGCACUUUCAGUGAGGAAGAACGCCUGGUGGUUAAUACCCAUCAGGAAAGACAUCACUCACAGAAGAAGCACCGGCUAACUCCGUGCCAGCAGCCGCGGUAAUACGGAGGGUGCGAGCGUUAAUCGGAAUUACUGGGCGUAAAGCGCGCGUAGGUGGCUUGAUAAGCCGGUUGUGAAAGCCCCGGGCUCAACCUGGGAACGGCAUCCGGAACUGUCAAGCUAGAGUGCAGGAGAGGAAGGUAGAAUUCCCGGUGUAGCGGUGAAAUGCGUAGAGAUCGGGAGGAAUACCAGUGGCGAAGGCGGCCUUCUGGACUGACACUGACACUGAGGUGCGAAAGCGUGGGUAGCAAACAGGAUUAGAUACCCUGGUAGUC
RNAcentral lists this ribosomal RNA (465 nucleotides) under Vreelandella stevensii. Its description in RNAcentral is "partial 16S ribosomal RNA". It matches the Rfam family "Bacterial small subunit ribosomal RNA", at positions 338 to 795 of the family's 1533-position model. Lineage: Bacteria; Pseudomonadati; Pseudomonadota; Gammaproteobacteria; Oceanospirillales; Halomonadaceae. The record is from RNAcentral.